CGAGCAGGCGAGAUGAUCGCGGGCGGCUUCGGCCGCUCGAGGAAAGUCCGAGCACCCCGGAGCAGGAUGCUGGGUAACGCCCAGUGGGAGUGAUCCCAAGGAAAGUGCCACAGAAAGCAAACCGCCCAAGCCCUUCGGGGCCGGCAAGGGUGAAACGGUGAGGUAAGAGCUCACCAGGGCCGCCGGUGACGGCGGCUGCUCGGCAAACCCCAUCCGGUGCAAGACCAAAUAGGAGGGAAGAAGACGCUCCGCUUCGUCACACCCUCGGGUUGGUCGCUAGAGGUGUCCGGUAACGGGCAUCCCAGACAAAUGAUCAUCCUCCCGCGAGGGAGAACAGAACUCGGCUUACGCCCUGCUCGGCCG
This 363-nucleotide RNase P RNA is filed under the name Candidatus Krumholzibacteriia bacterium. RNAcentral's name for it is "RNase P RNA component class A". It matches the Rfam family "Bacterial RNase P class A". From Rfam's summary of the family: Ribonuclease P (RNase P) is a ubiquitous endoribonuclease, found in archaea, bacteria and eukarya as well as chloroplasts and mitochondria. Its best characterised activity is the generation of mature 5'-ends of tRNAs by cleaving the 5'-leader elements of precursor-tRNAs. The record is from RNAcentral. Lineage: Bacteria; Candidatus Krumholzibacteriota; Candidatus Krumholzibacteriia.